GAUGAACGCUGGCGGCGUGCCUAAUACAUGCAAGUAGAACGCUGAAGCUUGGUGCUUGCACCGAGCGGAUGAGUUGCGAACGGGUGAGUAACGCGUAGGUAACCUGCCUCUUAGCGGGGGAUAACUAUUGGAAACGAUAGCUAAUACCGCAUAAAAGUCGACAUCGCAUGAUGUUGACUUGAAAGGUGCAAUUGCAUCACUAAGAGAUGGACCUGCGUUGUAUUAGCUAGUUGGUGAGGUAACGGCUCACCAAGGCGACGAUACAUAGCCGACCUGAGAGGGUGAUCGGCCACACUGGGACUGAGACACGGCCCAGACUCCUACGGGAGGCAGCAGUAGGGAAUCUUCGGCAAUGGGGGCAACCCUGACCGAGCAACGCCGCGUGAGUGAAGAAGGUUUUCGGAUCGUAAAGCUCUGUUGUAAGAGAAGAACGAGUGUGAGAGUGGAAAGUUCACACUGUGACGGUAACUUACCAGAAAGGGACGGCUAACUACGUGCCAGCAGCCGCGGUAAUACGUAGGUCCCGAGCGUUAUCCGGAUUUAUUGGGCGUAAAGCGAGCGCAGGCGGUUAGAUAAGUCUGAAGUUAAAGGCUGUGGCUUAACCAUAGUACGCUUUGGAAACUGUUUAACUUGAGUGCAGAAGGGGAGAGUGGAAUUCCAUGUGUAGCGGUGAAAUGCGUAGAUAUAUGGAGGAACACCGGUGGCGAAAGCGGCUCUCUGGUCUGUAACUGACGCUGAGGCUCGAAAGCGUGGGGAGCAAACAGG
This 765-nucleotide ribosomal RNA is filed under the name uncultured Streptococcus sp. Its description in RNAcentral is "bacterial SSU rRNA". It matches the Rfam family "Bacterial small subunit ribosomal RNA", at positions 28 to 776 of the family's 1533-position model. Lineage: Bacteria; Bacillati; Bacillota; Bacilli; Lactobacillales; Streptococcaceae. The record is from RNAcentral.